CCAGUAGUGGGAUACGCUUGGAACGGACGCUAAUACCGCAUACGUCUACGGAGAAGCAGGGACCUUCGGGCCUUGCGCUAUCAGAUGAGCCUAGGUCGGAUUAGCUAGUUGGUGAGGUAAUGGCUCACCAAGGCGACGAUCCGUAACUGGUCUGAGAGGAUGAUCAGUCACACUGGAACUGAGACACGGUCCAGACUCCUACGGGAGGCAGCAGUGGGAAUAUUGGACAAUGGGCGAAAGCCUGAUCCAGCCAUGCCGCGUGUGUGAAGAAGGUCUUCGGAUUGUAAAGCACUUUAAGUUGGGAGGAAGGGCAGUAAAUUAAUACUUUGCUGUUCUGACGUUACCGACAGAAUAAGCACCGGCUAACUCUGUGCCAGCAGCCGCGGUAAUACAGAGGGUGCAAGCGUUAAUCGGAAUUACUGGGCGUAAAGCGCGCGUAGGUGGUUCGUUAAGUUGGAUGUGAAAUCCCCGGGCUCAACCUGGGAACUGCAUUCAAAACUGUCGAGCUAGAGUAUGGUAGAGGGUGGUGGAAUUUCCUGUGUAGCGGUGAAAUGCGUAGAUAUAGGAAGGAACACCAGUGGCGAAGGCGACCACCUGGACUGAUACUGACACUGAGGUGCGAAAGCGUGGGGAGCAAAC
RNAcentral lists this ribosomal RNA (639 nucleotides) under uncultured bacterium. Its description in RNAcentral is "bacterial SSU rRNA". It matches the Rfam family "Bacterial small subunit ribosomal RNA", at positions 130 to 773 of the family's 1533-position model. The record is from RNAcentral.